CUCAAAAGAUGGAUUUGAGAGUUUUUCCAUCAUCUCUAUUGCCUUAUUCUCUUUCUUUCCAAUGCCAUUUGUUCUCUCUGCUGCCAGGAACGUGUUCUGACCAUGCUCUUUGGUUUUCUCAAUAUCAGGGNNNNUUUCAUUGAAAGCAAUAACUUCGGCAAGUGUCCUCACUGGAGAUGUGAUAAGCUCUUUCAGGUAAUCAUUCAAAUAGAGCUUGAACUCAGCCAACAUCAGUGUCAGC
RNAcentral lists this unclassified non-coding RNA (241 nucleotides) under Hevea brasiliensis (rubber tree). Lineage: Eukaryota; Viridiplantae; Streptophyta; Magnoliopsida; Malpighiales; Euphorbiaceae. The record is from RNAcentral.